Molecule: ribosomal RNA, 252 nt
Filed under: uncultured bacterium
Lineage: Bacteria
Description: partial 16S ribosomal RNA
Rfam family: Bacterial small subunit ribosomal RNA
Source: RNAcentral
UACGGAGGAUGCGAGCGUUAUCCGGAUUUAUUGGGUUUAAAGGGUGCGCAGGCGGCACGGCAAGCCGGCGGUCAAAUCGCGGGGCUCAACCCCGCCCAGCCGUCGGAACUGCCGGGCUAGAGUGGGCGAGAAGUGCGCGGAAUGCGUGGUGUAGCGGUGAAAUCCAUAGAUAUCACGCAGAACUCCGAUUGCGAAGGCAGCGCACCGGCGCCCUACUGACGCUCAGGCACGAAAGCGUGGGUAUCGAACAGG